Molecule: transfer RNA, 66 nt
Filed under: Sundadanio axelrodi 'blue'
Lineage: Eukaryota; Metazoa; Chordata; Actinopteri; Cypriniformes; Sundadanionidae
Description: tRNA-Cys
Rfam family: tRNA
About the family: Transfer RNA (tRNA) molecules are approximately 80 nucleotides in length. Their secondary structure includes four short double-helical elements and three loops (D, anti-codon, and T loops).
Source: RNAcentral
AGCCCCGUGGUGAGAGCAUAUUGGAUUGCAAAUCCAAAGACGCAGAUUAAUUGUCUGCCGGGGCUU